UUCCCAUAUCAGUGCAGACACUUGGGCUUUUAUAAGCUUAACAUGUCCCAGCUGGGUCUCAUUAGUGCUUAGUGUCUUGUGUUUGUCCUGUCACUGGCUAACAAUCACCACUUGCAAGGGUCUUCCUCUGCCUGGCCAUUUAUCAAUUUCAAUUCAGACCUACUGAGCAAUUCUAUAUUCCUCAACUCUGGCUCAACACAGACUCAAGUCAUUGAUUUUGAGAUCAGAAGCUCAACAUUCAAAUCCUGGUUCUUUCACUUAAUGCCUGUGUGAUCUCAGAAAAAAAGAUUAUGUAUCCUGAGAUGAAUACAUGUGACAAUUUAAGAAGGGGAUGAAGCAGUUAACAACUGGGGACAAGAGGGUUUCAAAAUCACUUCUCCAAUCAAGACUUAAUGUUGGUUUUUUUAUUGUUGUGGAAGUGAACAAAUGUAAGCUGGGAACAGGAAGAAAGAAGACUAUCUAGUUCUGGUAGGUCUCAUAGACUUGGAAUUUUCAGGUAGGCUUCAAUAACUCUAGGACAGUUAUAAAAAAUAAUACUUUGACUUCUGAAUAGAUUCUGAUCAUAAAAAGAUGACAAUGAAUGACACUAGGUCUUAAAGCAUUGCCUGAAGUCAUUAUGUAACCUUCUCUGUGGUCAUUUUAUACUCAAAUGAAAAGCAACUAUUUUUGGACAUCUUUUUUUUUAAUUUUAUAAUAUUUUAUUUGAUUAUUUCCAAGCAUUAUGCAUUAAAGACAAAGAUCAUUUUCUUUUCCUCCUCCCCCACACCCCAUAGCCGACGCGUGAUUCCACUGGGUAUCACAUGUGUUCUUGAUUCGAACCCAUUGUCAUGUUGUUAGUAUUUGCAUUAGAGUGUUCGUUUAGAGUCUCUCCUCUGUCAUGUCCCCUCAACCACUGUAAUCAGGCAGUUGCUUUUCCUCGGUGUUUUUACUC
Molecule: long non-coding RNA, 931 nt
Filed under: Monodelphis domestica (gray short-tailed opossum)
Lineage: Eukaryota; Metazoa; Chordata; Mammalia; Didelphimorphia; Didelphidae
Description: lncRNA (ENSMODG00000046626.1)
Source: RNAcentral